This 500-nucleotide ribosomal RNA is filed under the name uncultured bacterium. Its description in RNAcentral is "bacterial SSU rRNA". It matches the Rfam family "Bacterial small subunit ribosomal RNA", at positions 28 to 521 of the family's 1533-position model. The record is from RNAcentral.
GACGAACGCUGGCGGCGUGGAUUAGGCAUGCAAGUCGAACGGUAUCAUCCUUUCGGGGGUGAGAGAGUGGCGAACUGGUGAGUAACACGUAGGUUAUCUACCCUCAAGACGGGGACAACCCAGGGAAACUUGGGCUAAUACCGGAUGUGAGCAACUUUUAGUUGUUUGAAAGGUGGCGUAAGCUGUCGCUUGGGGAUGAGCCUGCGUCCUAUUAGUUAGUUGGUGAGGUAACGGCUCACCUAGGCAAUGAUAGGUAGGCGGCCUUAACGGGUGGUCGCCCACACUGGGAUUGAGAUACGGCCCAGACUCCUACGGGAGGCAGCAGUCGAGAAUAGUCUACAAUGGUCGGAAGACUGAUAGUGCGACGCCGCGUGAACGAUGAAUCCCUUCGGGGUGUAAAGUUCUUUUAUAUGUGAGCAGUGCUUCUUAUAUUAACAGUAUGGGGAAGAGAUACUAGCAUAUGAAUAAGCAACGGCUAACUCCGUGCCAGCAGCCGCGGU